GACAGAGGUGCCAAGCGUUAGGCGGAAUCACUGGGCUUAAAGCGUGUGUAGGCGGGGGCCUAAGUACCUCGUGAAAUCCCACGGCUCAACCGUGGAACUGCUCGGUAUACUGCUCGUCUUGAGCCAACUAGGGGCGACCGGAACAAACGGUGGAGCGGUGAAAUGCGUAGAUAUCGUUUGGAACGCCGAUGGUGAAAACAGGUCGCUGGGGUUGUGCUGACGCUGAGACACGAAAGCCAGGGGAGCGAACGGG
This 253-nucleotide ribosomal RNA is filed under the name uncultured bacterium. RNAcentral describes it as "partial 16S ribosomal RNA". It matches the Rfam family "Bacterial small subunit ribosomal RNA", at positions 524 to 776 of the family's 1533-position model. The record is from RNAcentral.